This 70-nucleotide ribosomal RNA is filed under the name Acinetobacter baumannii. RNAcentral describes it as "partial 16S ribosomal RNA". It matches the Rfam family "Bacterial small subunit ribosomal RNA", at positions 1 to 68 of the family's 1533-position model. The record is from RNAcentral. RNAcentral also lists the same sequence under 2 other names. Lineage: Bacteria; Pseudomonadati; Pseudomonadota; Gammaproteobacteria; Moraxellales; Moraxellaceae.
UUUAACUGAAGAGUUUGAUCAUGGCUCAGAUUGAACGCUGGCGGCAGGCUUAACACAUGCAAGUCGAGCG